Non-coding RNA from Caretta caretta (loggerhead turtle), 2801 nucleotides. NCBI's taxonomy places the organism in Eukaryota, Metazoa, Chordata, Testudines, Cheloniidae. The record is from RefSeq and is a predicted model, not a curated record.
ACUAGCAUUUUGUGGGGGUGGGUAAUAUGUGUAGACAAUACAUUUAUUUGGUUUGAUUGUCACAUACACAACCAUCUGGUUUCUCUGUGGGACUCAGACUUUUUGGCAAGCAUAUAUGUCAUGAUCUGUUUAGGUCCCUAGAUCCUCAUGUUGUUCUAUUGCUUCUUAUUUUUGCAAACCAUUCUUUUAAAAUCUUCUUGAACAGGUAAUGUUUCCACAUGUGUAAAAUCCCCUGUACCUACACAUAGCACUAGCACGUUGGGAAAACCAUACAUGGCAAAAAAUCCUUCUUUGACCUCCAUUUCUGCUGAUACAUUGGAGAAGUGAACACAUUUUACACACUGGGCAAAUAUUGCAUUCAGGUGCUGAGACAGGUGGUGUGAGACAGACGCCUGUGGUCUCCUAUGAGCUUCUGCAAUGAGCACAUGGCACGGCAUCUGAAGGAAGAAGAAAUACAACUGAAAAAUGAAGCGUAUGCAUUCAGUGAGGAAGCUGUGCAGCACCUUGAAGAUGCUGUUGAAGCUAUUAAGAAACUGGAAAAAUUAAGAAGACAUACCCUUGAACUUCUAGAAGAGGAGACUAUAAAAAAUAGUAAUCUCCGUUUAAAACUCCAGAAUCUUCCAGAAAUGGUUACCAAGGAGUUGGAAGCUCUUGUUGCUGCGGCCCGUGAAUCCAGUACUGCUAAGAUAAAUCAAUUACAGACUGCACUGAAAAACAUCACGUGUGAAAUCGAAUCACUGAAUCGGGAACAAAUCCUUUGUGAAACACAGAAUGCUGCUAUGUGUAAGGAGCAAGAGUGGCUGUGGGUCCAGCAUGAAGAAGCUGUAGCCUUACUGAACCAGCAGAUGGCACAAAAAGCUAACACAAAUAUACUUUUAAAUGAGUUUUGCAACAAAAAAAGGGAUGCAGAACAAGAAAUAAUCAACCUAACGAAUGCUGUGCAAGAAGUGAAAGAUGUUCUAGCUAAAGAAAUAAAAAUAUUUAAUGAUGAAAAAGAAGUGUGGGCUAGAAAGAACGCAGAGAUGAAAACAAAACUUGAUCUUCAGAAGGCAAAAACUUCAGGAAAAAAGGAUGAAUUUGAAGAAUUGUCCAAAAAGCUAUCAGCUGUGCAGUCUGAGAUAGCUCAAAAUACAGCGACUAUUUUUAAUGAGAAAGUUCAGAUAGCACAACUGAAAGAAAGAACCGAACAACUAAUAAUGGAAUUAGAACUUAAAAUAACGGAAAAGCUGGAACUCUGCAAAAGGAAAUAUAGCCUCGAUUCUGACCUCCUCCUUUUGCAAUCAAAAAUUGCCCAAGAAAGAGAGCAUCUAAAUAUUGAUAUAGCAACGGCUAAGGAAGAAUUAAGUACAGCUGAAGGCCUGAAUAGAAAACUUAAACAUGAAAAUAAAUUUAUAAGUAGCCAGUAUCGAAUAUUACUGACGGAAGAGGAACACUUACAUGCAAAAAGGGACGAGGCAGCAACAGAGCUUGAACGAUUAUCCAGUUGGCUGGAUGAAAGACUUGACAUUAUGUCAAAGCGUGUGGUGGAGGAGCAAAACUUGGAGGAUGAAGUUGAGAGACUCGAAGAUAUCUUUCAAAACACAAAGGAUGCCUAUGCAAGAGAACUAGAGAAUCUAGAGCAAUGUUUAAAGAGAGAAAGUGAGAUGAGAGCUUUGCUUCAGUGGAAGCAACUUCACCUGGCAAAGAAGAAGGAACUCUUGUGGGUAACAGAGGAGAAAUUCAUGAAUGAAAUGAAUGUAAGACUUGAGACUGGUAAAAAACGUCAUGCUGAGCUAAGUGGAGAGAAUGAGUAUUUCCGAAAAGAAAUUUUGCAGGCUGAGGAACAGGUCAAACACCUUAGUGAUGAUAUAAAUAAAAGGGAAGCUGAAUGCGAGAAGUAUGAAAACAGCUUAAUAGAAGACAUACAAUGGCUUGAGGAUGAUGUCAAAGGUAAAACUGAAGAGAUAUAUCAAAAAGAACAACAACUAAUUCUGAGCAUCCCUCUCAUAGAAGUAAGACAGAAAGAGUUGGAAGAGAAGCAUGAAAAAUAUGAAGACUUGAAAAAAGUAGUCUCAGAACUAAAAGAUGAAGAGACAAGACUGACAAAAUCCAUUGAUCGGUCAGUCAGGAUGAUUGGUAAACUCAAGAAGAUCAUGGCUGAGCUGAAGAAUGAAUUAAGAAUAAAGCGUGACCUGGCAUUUGACCAGUUGAAAGAGCAUACAGAAGUUCUGAAGUUGCUAGAGAGGGACAUCUAUGAGGUCGACAGGAAGCUCGACAUUGUGAAGACAGAAAACUGCAGACUGAAAUUAUGCAAUGCACAGAUGAAAGCAGAUAUUUUGACAAUGAGCCAUGAAGCCGAAAACCACAAAUCAACAACAGUAAAAAUUCUGAGUGAUCUGACAGUCCUUCAUCAGCUUUUUCUGAAGGGAUGGUCAGAGGACAGUAGCAUGCAAAAGGAAUUUGUGGCGAAUGAGAAGGAAAUCAUGGCUGCAAUAGCAGAUCUUGUAAUGAAACUUCAUCAGAGAGAGAAAAAGAUUGAUUUUAUUAACAAAGGGCUACAAAAUAACUUUGAUGGACUGGAUUCUUUGUUAGAAAGUAAAUUCAGCACAGAACCCAAUGUUUCUGAAGGAUAGAAUAUUGGAGUAAAAAGGAAAAGGCUGAAUUUACAGAACUGCAAUGAAGCUUGGAACAGCAUUCCUACUACCUAGGGAGCGAGGCCAAUGCUGCUUUGGAGAGGCAAUCUUCUUAACCAGAAGCGGUCGGAGCAGCAUCAUCAACACCAGACAGAAGGCAUAGUAUAUAAAUACAAUGGUGUAUCUAUA